RNAcentral lists this ribosomal RNA (460 nucleotides) under uncultured Prevotella sp. RNAcentral's name for it is "bacterial SSU rRNA". It matches the Rfam family "Bacterial small subunit ribosomal RNA", at positions 338 to 795 of the family's 1533-position model. The record is from RNAcentral. Lineage: Bacteria; Pseudomonadati; Bacteroidota; Bacteroidia; Bacteroidales; Prevotellaceae.
CCUACGGGAUGCAGCAGUGAGGAAUAUUGGUCAAUGGGCGAGAGCCUGAACCAGCCAAGUAGCGUGCGGGAUGAAGGCCCUUGUGGUCGUAAACCGCUUUUAUCAGUGAAUAAAGUGCAUCACGUGUGGUGUCAUUGCAGGUAGCUGAAGAAAAAGGACCGGCUAAUUCCGUGCCAGCAGCCGCGGUAAUACGGAAGGUCCGGGCGUUAUCCGGAAUUAUUGGGUUUAACGGGAGCGCAGGCGGGAGUAUAAGUCAGCUGUUAAAUAUCAGGGCCCAACUCUGGUAUGCAGUUGAAAAUAUAUUUCUUGAGUACGCACAGGGAUGGCGGAAUUCAGGGUGUAGCGGUGAAAUGCUUAGAUAUCCUGAAGAACUCCGAUCGCGAAGGCAGCCAUCCGGAGCGUAACUGACGCUGAGGCUCGAAGGUGCGGGUAUCGAACAGGAUUAGAUACCCCAGUAGUC